RNAcentral lists this ribosomal RNA (406 nucleotides) under uncultured bacterium. Its description in RNAcentral is "partial 16S ribosomal RNA". It matches the Rfam family "Bacterial small subunit ribosomal RNA", at positions 30 to 526 of the family's 1533-position model. The record is from RNAcentral.
AUUGAACGCUGGCGGCAGGCCUAACACAUGCAAGUCGAACGAGUGGCGGACGGGUGAGUAAUGUCUGGGAAACUGCCUGAUGGCGGGGGAUAACUACUGGAAACGGUAGCUAAUACCGCAUACCAUCAGAUGUGCCCAGAUGGGAUUAGCUAGUUGGUGGGGUAACGGCUGACCACGGCGACGAGCCCUAGAUGGUCUGAGAGGAUGACAAGCCACACUGGAACGGAGAUACGGUCCAGACUCCUACGGGAGGAAGCAGUGGGGAAUAUUGCACAAUGGGCGCAAGCCUGAUGCAGCCAUGCCGCGUGUAUGAAGAAGGCCUUCGGGUUGUAAAGUACUUUCAGCGGGGAGGCGUUACCCACAGAAGAAGCACCGGCUAACUCCGUGCCAGCAGCCGCGGUAAUUC